CUAAUUUGCGCAUGGGGGCAGCCUGAUCCAGCCAUCGCCGCGUGCAGUGAUGAAGGCCUUCGGGUUGUAAAGCUCUUUUUGCCGGGAAGAUAAUGACGGUACUCGUACUGGGUUCCCCGGACCGUUUCAUGCCAGCACCCCCGGCCCUAUGCCAUCCCCCCCGGUAAUAUAAUA
RNAcentral lists this ribosomal RNA (174 nucleotides) under uncultured bacterium. Its description in RNAcentral is "partial 16S ribosomal RNA". The record is from RNAcentral.